Molecule: long non-coding RNA, 489 nt
Filed under: Salmo salar (Atlantic salmon)
Lineage: Eukaryota; Metazoa; Chordata; Actinopteri; Salmoniformes; Salmonidae
Description: lncRNA (ENSSSAG00000092512.1)
Source: RNAcentral
AGAGAGAGAGUAGAACAGGGAGGAACAGAGAGAGUAGAACAGGAUGAGACAGGGAGGAACAGAGAGAGAGUAGAACAGGAUGAGACAGGGAGGAACAGAGAGAGAGUAGAACAGGAUGAGACAGGGAGGAACAGAGAGAGAGUAGAACAGGAUGAGACAGGGAGGAACAGAGAGAGAGUAGAACAGGAUGAGACAGGGAGGAACAGAGAGAGUAGAACAGGAUGAGACAGGGAGGAACAGAGAGAGUAGAACAGGAUGAGACAGGGAGGAACAGAGAGAGAGUAGAACAGGAUGAGACAGGGAGGAACAGAGAGAGGUAGAACAGGAUGAGACAGGGAGGAACAGAGAGAGUAGAACAGGAUGAGACAGGGAGGAACAGAGAGAGAGUAGAACAGGAUGAGACAGGGAGGAACAGAGAGAGUAGAACAGGAUGAGACAGGGAGGAACAGAGAGAGUAGAACAGGAUGAGACAGGGAGGAACAGAGAGAG